GACGAACGCUGGCGGCGUGCUUAACACAUGCAAGUCGAACGGAAAGGCCCUGCUUUGGUGGGGUGCUCGAGUGGCGAACGGGUGAGUAACACGUGGGUAACCUGCCCCUGCCUUUGGGAUGACUUCAGGAAACUGGGGCUAAUACCGGAUAGGAGCUCCUGCCGCAGGGUGGGGGUUGGAAAGUUUCGGCGGUUGGGGGUGGACUCGCGGCUUAUCGGCUUGAUGGGUGGGUAGUGGCUUACCAAGGCUUGGAGGGGUGGCCGGCCUGGGAGGGUGACCUGCCCCGCUGGGCCUGGGCUGCGGCCCAGCCUCCUAUGGGAGGCAGCGGUGGGGAAUAUUGUACAAUGGGCGGGGGCCUGGUGCGGCAACGCCGCGUGCGGUGUGACGGCCUUCGGGUUGUAAACCGCUUUCGCCUGUGACGAGGCGUGAGUGACGGUAAUGGGUAAAUAAGCACCGGCUAACUACGUG
Molecule: ribosomal RNA, 468 nt
Filed under: uncultured bacterium
Lineage: Bacteria
Description: partial 16S ribosomal RNA
Rfam family: Bacterial small subunit ribosomal RNA
Source: RNAcentral